This 490-nucleotide ribosomal RNA is filed under the name uncultured bacterium. RNAcentral describes it as "bacterial LSU rRNA". It matches the Rfam family "Bacterial large subunit ribosomal RNA", at positions 1379 to 1869 of the family's 2925-position model. The record is from RNAcentral.
GUGCCCGAAGCUGGAUUCUCUUCGGAGAAGAAGGUGGAGCGCACGAACCGAACCGGUAGUAGUCAAGCAAUGGGGUGACGCAGGAAGGUAGUCCAACCACGGCGAUGGUAGUCCGUGGGCAAGGUAGUAGGGCGAGACGUAGGCAAAUCCGCGUCUCAUAUGCCUGAGAACCGAUGCGGAGCCGAUUCAGGCGAAGUGGAUGAUCCUAUGCUGCCAAGAAAAGCCUCUAGCGAGUGAUUUCACCGCCCGUACCCCAAACCGACACAGGUGGUCAGGUAGAGAAUACUAAGGCGAUCGAGUGAACCAUGGUUAAGGAACUCGGCAAAAUGCCCCCGUAACUUAGGGAUAAGGGGGGCCACUGCUGGUGUAGGGAUUUACUCCCGAAGCUGGUGGAGGCCGCAGAGACCAGGCUGAAGCGACUGUUUAUCUAAAAACACAGGUCCAUGCGAAGUCGCAAGACGAUGUAUAUGGACUGACGCCUGCCCGGUGC